UUUCCGUAGGUGAACCUGCGGAAGGAUCAUUAUUGUAUAACCGAGGUGCGAGGGCUGUCGCUGACCCGAAAGGUCGUGCACGCCCGAGUGCCCUCACACACAUCCAUCUCACCCCUAUGUGCACCACCGCGUGGGUCCCCCUUUGGCUUGUUCGGAGGGGGGCUUACGUUUUCACACAAACUUUGUAUGCAGUGUAUAAUGUAUUUUUUGUUUUUGCGAUCACGCAAUCAAUACAACUUUCAACAACGGAUCUCUUGGCUCCC
This 263-nucleotide unclassified non-coding RNA is filed under the name plant metagenome. RNAcentral describes it as "partial contains small subunit ribosomal RNA, internal transcribed spacer 1, and 5.8S ribosomal RNA". The record is from RNAcentral.